Molecule: ribosomal RNA, 452 nt
Filed under: Salmonella enterica subsp. enterica serovar Enteritidis
Lineage: Bacteria; Pseudomonadati; Pseudomonadota; Gammaproteobacteria; Enterobacterales; Enterobacteriaceae
Description: partial 23S ribosomal RNA
Rfam family: Bacterial large subunit ribosomal RNA
Source: RNAcentral
AAUCCAUAGGUUAAUGAGGCGAACCGGGGGAACUGAAACAUCUAAGUACCCCGAGGAAAAGAAAUCAACCGAGAUUCCCCCAGUAGCGGCGAGCGAACGGGGAGGAGCCCAGAGCCUGAAUCAGCAUGUGUGUUAGUGGAAGCGUCUGGAAAGGCGCGCGAUACAGGGUGACAGCCCCGUACACAAAAGCGCAUGUGCUGUGAGCUCGAUGAGUAGGGCGGGACACGUGGUAUCCUGUCUGAAUAUGGGGGGACCAUCCUCCAAGGCUAAAUACUCCUGACUGACCGAUAGUGAACCAGUACCGUGAGGGAAAGGCGAAAAGAACCCCGGCGAGGGGAGUGAAAAAGAACCUGAAACCGUGUACGUACAAGCAGUGGGAGCCCCACCACCAAAGCAUUUGCUGUACCGCGUUGACGGAGCGAAGCGACGUCAAACCGAUAAAACAGCAGUGU